RNAcentral lists this ribosomal RNA (576 nucleotides) under uncultured Vibrio sp. RNAcentral describes it as "bacterial SSU rRNA". It matches the Rfam family "Bacterial small subunit ribosomal RNA", at positions 162 to 733 of the family's 1533-position model. Lineage: Bacteria; Pseudomonadati; Pseudomonadota; Gammaproteobacteria; Vibrionales; Vibrionaceae. The record is from RNAcentral.
GCUAAUACCGCAUAAUGCCUACGGGCCAAAGAGGGGGACCUUCGGGCCUCUCGCGUCAAGAUAUGCCUAGGUGGGAUUAGCUAGUUGGUGAGGUAAUGGCUCACCAAGGCGACGAUCCCUAGCUGGUCUGAGAGGAUGAUCAGCCACACUGGAACUGAGACACGGUCCAGACUCCUACGGGAGGCAGCAGUGGGGAAUAUUGCACAAUGGGCGCAAGCCUGAUGCAGCCAUGCCGCGUGUAUGAAGAAGGCCUUCGGGUUGUAAAGUACUUUCAGCAGUGAGGAAGGGGGUGUCGUUAAUAGCGGCAUCUCUUGACGUUAGCUGCAGAAGAAGCACCGGCUAACUCCGUGCCAGCAGCCGCGGUAAUACGGAGGGUGCGAGCGUUAAUCGGAAUUACUGGGCGUAAAGCGCAUGCAGGUGGUUUGUUAAGUCAGAUGUGAAAGCCCGGGGCUCAACCUCGGAACUGCAUUUGAAACUGGCAAACUAGAGUACUGUAGAGGGGGGUAGAAUUUCAGGUGUAGCGGUGAGAUGCGUAGAGAUCUGAAGGAAUACCGGUGGCGAAGGCGGCCCCCUGGA